Molecule: ribosomal RNA, 467 nt
Filed under: uncultured bacterium
Lineage: Bacteria
Description: bacterial SSU rRNA
Rfam family: Bacterial small subunit ribosomal RNA
Source: RNAcentral
AUUGAACGCUGGCGGAAUGCUUUACACAUGCAAGUCGAACGGCAGCACGGGGCAACCUGGUGGCGAGUGGCGAACGGGUGAGUAAUACAUCGGAACGUGCCCAAUCGUGGGGGAUAACGUAGCGAAAGUUACGCUAAUACCGCAUACGAUCUACGGAUGAAAGCGGGGGAUCGCAAGACCUCGCGCGAGUGGAGCGGCCGAUGUCAGAUUAGGUAGUUGGUGGGGUAAAGGCUCACCAAGCCAACGAUCUGUAGCUGGUCUGAGAGGACGACCAGCCACACUGGAACUGAGACACGGUCCAGACUCCUACGGGAGGCAGCAGUGGGGAAUUUUGGACAAUGGGCGCAAGCCUGAUCCAGCCAUUCCGCGUGCAGGAUGAAGGCCUUCGGGUUGUAACUAGCUUUUGUUACGGAACGAAACGGACGAGCUCUAAUACAGUUGCUAAUAGACGGUACCGUAAGAAUAAG